Molecule: transfer RNA, 110 nt
Rfam family: tRNA
About the family: Transfer RNA (tRNA) molecules are approximately 80 nucleotides in length.
Source: Rfam
GGCAAGAUGGCCGAGUGGUCUAAGGCGCAGCACUUGAAUAACCCUAAUCUUGAUCAUUAGGUUGACAUGCUGUAUCUUCGGAUGCGUGAGUUCAAAUCUCACUCUUGUCG